UUCUCCAGUAGUCAUUUCUUCGUAACUCUGAUAAACGAUUUUGGUAUCGAUGAAGAAUAUUUAUUUAAGGAGUUACACAGGAUUUUGGUCGAGUUUGAGACUUCCGAUUCUUCCGUAGAAAUAAAACCAAAGAAACGACGCCAGCCUAUCAUAUCAGACGAUUCUGACGAUAAAAAUAUAUAUUUUUUCUUUAAUUUUUACCGGAAUUUGUCCUUUGUGAUGACAUGACAUGUGAUGAUUAUUCAUUAUUUUCUAAUAUAUACCAAUUUUAUAAUAUUA
Molecule: long non-coding RNA, 279 nt
Organism: Melitaea cinxia (Glanville fritillary)
Lineage: Eukaryota; Metazoa; Arthropoda; Insecta; Lepidoptera; Nymphalidae
Exons: 2
Source: RefSeq, a predicted model, not a curated record